RNAcentral lists this ribosomal RNA (468 nucleotides) under uncultured bacterium. Its description in RNAcentral is "partial 16S ribosomal RNA". It matches the Rfam family "Bacterial small subunit ribosomal RNA", at positions 28 to 507 of the family's 1533-position model. The record is from RNAcentral.
GACGAACGCUGGCGGCGUGCUUAACACAUGCAAGUCGAACGGAAAGGCCCUGCUUUUGUGGGGUGCUCGAGUGGCGAACGGGUGAGUAACACGUGAGUAACCUGCCCUUGACUUUGUGAUAACUUCAGGAAACUUGGGCUAAUACCGGAUAGGAGCUCCUGCUGCAUGGUGGGGGUUGGAAAGUUUCGGCGGUUGGGGAUGGACUCGCGGCUUAUCAGCUUGUUGGGGGGGUAGUGGCUUACCAAGGCUUUGACGGGUGGCCGGCCUGAGAGGGUGACCGGCCAAAUUGGGACUGAGAUAAGGCACAGACUCCUACGGGAGGCAGGAGUGGGGAAUAUUGCACAAGGGGAUGAAGCCUGAUGCAGCAACGCCGCGUGCGGGAAGAGGGCAAGCGGGUUGGAAACCGAUUUCGCCUGUGACGAAGCGUGAGUGACGGUAAUGGGUAAAGAAGCACCGGCUAACUACGUG